This 613-nucleotide long non-coding RNA is filed under the name Homo sapiens (human). RNAcentral's name for it is "HSALNT0359921". Lineage: Eukaryota; Metazoa; Chordata; Mammalia; Primates; Hominidae. The record is from RNAcentral.
AGUAACUGGCAGAGGUUACCUCGUAAAUAGCAUGACCUCUGCUAAAAAAAGUAGGAUGAAUCCUAAGGAAGUUAAUAGCUGAAGGCUGCAGCUACUAGAUUCCAGAGAGUGGCCUGGGGCACAAGAUACUCAACCAGAGCAGACAGUGUCAGCCUCUGUCAUGGAAAGAUUGAACAGGAGAAUCUGGAACCAGGAGUGAGCAGAGCUGGCCCCAGGCCUUGGUGGCUGUGUACUAGUUCUGUGACCUGCAAUCAGUCACUUAACUUCUGUGAGCUCCUCUCUUUCCGUCUGUAAAAAAGGAAUAUGUACUACCCACUUCCUGAGUAGAUGUUGAAGAUGUUGUAAAAGGUUCGAGUCAACCAAUUAAAAGCAAUAGAUCACAUGAAGAUGAGUAUAUCUUCUGUUUGUUGGGACAUAAUCCAGAGAGGAUCUUUCUCCCCAGAUAUUAUGGGAUGGCCACAUUUUACAGCUGAGAGUGGAGUGGAGUCCAGAACAGGAGAAGGCUCUGCAACUGAUUGAGACUGCCUGCUCUGUGCAAACUGCUCUGCCACUUGGGCCAUAUGACCCAGAAGAUCCAGUGGUGCUUGAGGUGUCAGUGGCAGACAAGGAUGCU